AGGGGCAGCGGGAGUAGCAAUACUUGCCGGCGACCGGCGCACGGGUGCGUAACACGUAUACAAUCUGCCUUCUACAGAGGGAUAGCCCGGAGAAAUUCGGAUUAAUACCUCAUAACAAAUGAAUUGGCAUCAAUUUAUUUUGAAAGAUCCGUCGGUAGAAGAUGAGUAUGCGUCUGAUUAGCUAGUUGGUGAGGUAAUGGCUCACCAAGGCCACGAUCAGUAGGGGAUCUGAGAGGACUACCCCCCACACUGGUACUGAGACACGGACCAGACUCCUACGGGAGGCAGCAGUAAGGAAUAUUGGACAAUGGAGGCAACUCUGAUCCAGCCAUGCCGCGUGCAGGAUGACUGCCCUAUGGGUUGUAAACUGCUUUUGUACGGGAGAAAACCCUUUCACGUGUGAAAGGUUGAUAGUACCGUAAGAAUAAGGAUCGGCUAACUUCGUGCCAGCAGCCGCGGUAAGACGAAGGAUCCAAGCGUUAUCCGGAUUCAUUGGGUUUAAAGGGUGCGU
Molecule: ribosomal RNA, 511 nt
Filed under: uncultured bacterium
Lineage: Bacteria
Description: bacterial SSU rRNA
Rfam family: Bacterial small subunit ribosomal RNA
Source: RNAcentral